CGCCCCCUCCCCACCACGUGACAGGCGGCGCGCGCUCUGCCUCGCGGCCCCACCCCCCGCGCGGCUUCCCCUGUGGACCCUGGCCUGUUCUGAGGGGCUCAAGGCUGCUUACGCGUGUCCGGGACGACAGCGCCCGCCUCAUGCAUUUCUGGUAGAGAACUGGGAAAAGCGGCCCAAGGUCCCGGCCUUAAAUGGAAGGGACGGGCGCACGGAGUAGCCACAGAGCGACUGGAAGAGGAGGGACCGGGCAGCGUUUGAAUGGACGUGGUGCAGCCUCCACGGAAAAGGCGUUCGGGGCCGGCGCCAGAGCCCGGGCAGUGGACUGAGAUGCACGGAAGCCAACUGGGCCUGGCGCUUGGGUUCCUGAGCUCGGGGCCUGUUCCUUCUCUAUAAAACGAAGACAGUAAUAGAACAGACCUCAUACGUAGGCGCGUAGGAAGUUUCCGUGAGAGAAUGUGCGAAACUUUUUCACCCCAGAGCCUGGUCUGUGUCGGUUACCGAAUGAAUGGUGGGUAUUAGAGAGCAGUCGGUGAGGAGAGCAGACAGCAAGGAUGGCCUUGAACUCACUAUAUAGUCCCAGCUGGCCUGGAAUUCAGUGAUCAUCCUGACUCAGCCUACCGAUUGCUGGGAUUAUAGCUACUUUUGAGAGGUCAAGUCACUACUCUGGAGGAAAUACCUGAUUCAGAAUCUUUGGAGGCAAAGAGAGAUAAGGAUCUUGCUGAGUUGCUAAACUGCCCAAGCUGGACUUGAUCAUCCCCCUGCUUCAACCCUCCAGAGUGCUGGAAUUAUAGGUGUGCACCAUCAUGACUGGCUCAGCAGAUAUUCUCCACUCCUUUUGUCAAGAUGUUUCUGCCUUGGGGCCAGCUGACCAUGAACUGAAACCUCAGGAAAUCUGAUGCCUAAACUUUCGAACCUGAUACUAUCCAGCAAAACAGAAUAGAGGAACCUCAGUCAAAAACAAGAUGUGAAAGCGAAAUAGGCUGACACUAUAGAGACCAAGGAGGAAGUGGACAAAUUUAGAAGAGGCUGAUCUUGUGAAGACUGGGAUGUGAAAUUACAGGCAAGGGACACAGAGAAAGCAGAGGCCAGGAGGAGAAGGGCUUCAAGACCCAGGAAAGCCUGUGUGCCCAGAGCAAAAUGCAGAGACAAACAGAAGAAAGAGUCUUCAUUCCAAGACCUUCUGUGUUGGAGGUGUGACAUUUCAGGGUGCAGUUGGAGCUUCCAAACUUCUACCUGACUUUCAUGUUUUUGUUCCCUUCUGCUGACUAAUACGCCAAGACUUCACCUCAGUGUUCUGUCUAAACCAACAGCCCAGUCUCUCCAUCUCCCAUCUCUGGGGGAAGAUUAAGGGAGGAAGGUGAGCUCCCAAUAACUGUAUUAAGUGGUCCCUAAGCAAGUUUAUCUAUUGUUUGUUUGUCCAUGUUUUAGCGACAAUCUUUGUGUUUUCAAUGUAUUUUUACUGAGUCUAAGUCCUUUAAUUUCAAAGUGAGCAAAAUAAAACAAACCAUCUUCAUUACAAUUGAUUUAAAAACUCAAGCAAUGAAUAGGAUCAGAGGGCUAGCUCUCUUCUUUGCCUCGUGCUCGAGGGUGGUCUGCUGGGAAACUAGUUUAGUCAGAUAGAUGGACAGAGAUUUCUCCAAUGUAAGCAUAUUCCAGGGACAAGAGUUGAAAAGCAGUGAAUAUUUGACGGCUUUCACUCAAAUUGGUCAAGAUCUCCUUGCACAAAUCCAAUGAAGCAACAAGGCCAUCCACAAGCAGCGUCUCCACCAAGGACACCCUUCCCCUUCUCCCUGAGUCAGAGUGAGCUCAGCCACCCUCAGGGAAGCCUUCUUCUGACUUCCUGUAGCAGUGUGGUUGGGUGUGAGCUGCGCUUAGGGUUUCUGCACGCUGCUUUCACCUCCAGUGUGGUAUGGUAGCUUAGUUAUUAUGAGUGGACAGUUAGAACAGGCAAAAGAAAGGGCAAGGUUGAAGAGCUGUCUUUUUCAUUAACAUUUCUUCCUAUUAAGAGUUAGUCUGAAUAUAUAUUCAUUGCAGGUUGGACUAUAAGCAGUAUAGAGAUAACCUGCUCUUUCCACCUAUACCUAAAGUAAACUUGGAAGAAGUUUGAAACCAUUCUUUUUAUAUAUCUAUGUAUGUUUUGCCAAGCUUAAAAAGAGUGUAUAAUUAAAACAUUUGUGAAUUUCAAAAGAAGAAGAAGAUGAAGAAGAAGAAGAAGAAGAAGAAGAAGAAGAAGAAGAAGAAGAAGGAGAAAGAAAAGAAAAACAAAAUAGCUCAGGUUAAGAAUUAGUCCAAACAGCUGGUUAAGCUUAGAAAAAUAAAAGAAAACACAAGAACCACCACCCCCCAAAAAAGAAAGCAAGAACAAAACAAGAACCAAAGAUUAAGGGUUAGGAUUAGGAUACAACCCCUGGAAGAAGAGCUCACAAUAGUGUCCUCAGCUGACAGCUCCACCCUACCUCCAUACCGAACUUGAGAAACUGAAGAAAUUUGAGAAAUGCAAAAUAACCAGUUUCUUCAGAACUCAUUUAAAACAAGCUGAUUGCCGUGUGCUCUGCUUAUUCACAUAGGAGCAGGACAAAAAACACGAUUUGGCCUUUCUUUUGGAAUCUCCUCCUAGAGACCUUUACUUUUUUCUUAUUUCCAAUGAAACACUCUUAAAUUCCUCCUCUUGGCUUGCGACUUCAUUCUUCCACUUUGUGAAACUAAGAACUCAGUUUGUUUUGUACAGAAUUAACUGCUUCAGUAGCAUCAUCAAAGACUGAUUGCAAAUUGAUUGCCAUGGCACAGCAUAUGUUUCUCAAGAGGGUGUUUGUUUAUCACUGCUGUUUUUGACAAGUAUUUAACACCAGGAAAAAGAAAAGGGAAGAGAAGAUGGGAAAGACAGGAGGAAGGGGAAUGAACCUCGGCAACCCUUAUUUUCAGCCUCCAACCUCUUGACUCCCUUCUCUGCCUGGCUCCUCACUCCUAGAAAGAGGACAGUUUCCCCAGUCACCAGACAAGGAAUAUCAGAAGAGUUUCCUGUUUUGAAAAAAAAAAAAAAAAAUGCAUGUUAAGUUUCCAGUUUUUUGAGACUGGCACAGAAACAGACAAAGUGUUUAUGCACUGAUAGCAUAUUUUUUAAAAAAAUUCCAGUUUCUAUGAAAACCUUUGUUCUGAGUCCAGUUUAGCCCUGUGAAGAAAUUGAAAGCUCCAUCUCUGUUUUUGAUUCUAAUGAUGACUUGAGGACUUUCCUCUUGCUCAAUUUGUUCAUCCAUAAAAUGAGCCUGUGUUUUAAUUUGUGUGAUUUCUGAUUCAUUAGUCAGUUGUCAUCAAUUUAUGAGCAGGUUGCAACUGGCAUUUUAGAGUUAAAAUCAGAGUGUACUGUUUGUGGCAAGGUAAAGAUUAUUUCAUGACACUUGGUUUUGGUUGUACUUUGGGACACAGGUACUAGAUUAUGGGGUAAAAUGUACUUUCAGUAUGUUGAAGUUAAACAAAAAAUUUAAUGAAAUACAAUAAAAACUAACAAGAGCAAAAUCUAAAAAGAAGUCAGACAAUAUGAUUUUUUUUAAAAGUCCCUAUCAUUUUAAUCCACAUGAAUUUGACAAUGUAACCAUUCUAACAGGGGGAAAGAAAGACUGACAGGAAGUGAAAGAGAGAUUCUUUAGAAUAGUUCAAAACAGGAAGCCCACUACAGAACAGGUGGAACCAAGAGAAAGACACCAGAAAGCUAAAAAACAGAAAUUCUCUUCAAAAAAAUUGUUCACUUUGGCCCCAAACUGCCUUUCCAGCGUUAAGUCUCUACCUCGGGUAUUGCCUUAUUUCUGAUUGGAAAGAACACUGUUCUCAGGGAGCUGUUCUCUCCAACCCCACCCUCCCUUCUCCUGUGGUUAUUUAUAGUCUUUAUGCCCUUCCUACUCCUCUCCCCCAUCCCCUGGCACCCGUGGAAGCCUGUAGGUGCUGGGUCUAAUUACUAGUGGGAUCUGGCUCAGCUCUGUUCAACCCUGGUGGUCUGCAGCAUAUGUUCCAUGCACUCUCUGUGUCUGGAAUGUGGAGGGGUAGUGGUGAGGUAGGUACAAGGGAGGGUGAACUGUAGAUUGUCUGCAUUGUAGGGGCAGAGGGAAAUUUCCCUUCCACCCCCUGAAGUUUCCCUGAAAUAAAUUGUGGAAAUUAUAUGAGAGAAAUAGAAAUUUAUUAAGGUAUAAAAGAGGAGAAAUCACAGCACGGGAAAAAUCGUGGGACUGUUAUUAGCCACUAGCCCAUCAUGAAUGAAGAAUUUAUGUACCAAAUCUAGUGUGGUGACACAUGCCUAUAAUCCCAGCAUGGGAGGCUGAGGCAAGAAGAUCAAAGGCCAUAGGUUCAAACUCAGGACCAAAAAGAAAGAAAGAAAGCAAGAAAGAAAUGAAACUUAUAGAGCCCCCUUUUGACAGAGGAGAGAAAAGGUAAUAUCUGAGAAAUUGUAAAUGAUUUUAGGGGAACUUGAUGGAGUUGGAGAACAUAUUGUACUCUGGGGCAAAGUCCAAUAGUACUGCAGAACUGAAAACAGAUUACUAAUAAUUCACCAAGAAUUAAAAAAAAUACUUAAAAACAUUUUUAAAUUUUUUAAUUAAAACAUUUUGGUUUUGGCUGGGGAUUUUAGCUCAGCAGCAUAAGCACCUGCCUGGCAAGUGCAAGGUCGUGAGUGAUCCCCAGUACUCCCCCCAGAAAUUGUUUUGUUAUAUUUUUUGAGACACACACAGUCUUGUUAUAUAGCCCAAGACUGACUUUGAAACCCUGUGAUCCUUCUAUUUCAGCCUUCUUGCGUGCUGGGAUUACAUAAUUCAAAAAAAAUUUUUUUAAAUGUUUAAAAUUUGAGAUAAGGUCUGGCUAAAUUGCUCUGGCUGAGCUAGAAUUUGCAAUCCUCCUGCCUCAGCAUCUUGAGUACCUAGGAUUACAGGCUAAUACUCCACUACCAGCAGAUUGUAAAUGACUAUGGCACCAAAAUGGAGGAUAAUGCUGUGUAACAAGUCUGUCCAGGAAUCACUAGUGGAACAAGUUUAAUAUAAAAAUAUAUAUGAUAUAUUAGGAAUAUUCAAAGUAGACUUCCAAUGGCUACCAGCAGAGUCAGGGUGAAAGCAUGCAAAAUGGCUGUCUGCACAGUGGAAAGCCAGAAGACCCAGUUGAAAGUCAAAGGCCUGGAGCUCACUGCAGAGUCCUGUGCAAGCCUGUACUGGGAAGCCAAAAGGUCUACACUGGAAGGCUCAAAGAACUAAUGAUAAUGUUCAAAGGUGAUGGAGAAGAGCACCUUCUAAGGAGCAAAAGGACAGACUUCCUUCUUCUUUCCCUUUUAUUCCAUCCAGACCACAAGCCUAUUGGCUGAUACCAUGAUCCUGCAUGGAUCUUCCCUAUUCAGUUUACAGCCUACAUGUCAAGCAACACAAAGAACCGUGCUCUGCUAAUCCACUAGAUAUUUCUUUUUCUUUUCCUUUUUGUUUUUUUGGUUUUACUGAGACAGGGUCUCACUCAGUUCAGGCUGACCUUGAGCUCAUUUUGUAGCUCAGGUUGAUUUCAAACUCGAGAAUUUACAAUGAUUCUCCUGGCUCAGCCUCCUGAGUACUGAGAUUAUACAUUUGUGCCACCACGCCCAGCUCUCCUAGAUGUUUCUUAGUCUAUUUAAAUUGACAGCACAGGCUGCGGCCCCUCCAGGGGGAGAACCACCAGCUCCUCCUGAGAUCUGUGCCAUGCUGGAACUUAGGAUGCUGGGAAACCAAGCAAGCAGCUCCCCUCCCUGGUAAGCGGCUGUGGUGUGGCAGGUUGUGGCCUCUUCAGGGAAGAACCACCAGCGUCUCCUGAGAUCCGUGCCAUGUUGGAACUUUACAACACUGGGAAACCAAGCAACCAACCUGCCUCCCUGCUAAGCAAUAGUGAGCCUUCUGGUGAACGGGCUGAGAGUCAAACAUCCCACUUCCCUUACCCCCCUUCUCCUGCCCCCCAUUAACAGAUGGGAACCAGAGAUCUGAGCAUCUCUGGGGAGGUUGACCAUAGCAAAUAAGGGGGAUUUCCUUAUACCAUCUCUUUGAAGGCAAAUAUUUUUAUUACUGUUUUGCUCUAUUCUGAUUAAUGGUACUGCUCUAUUCAAUAUUCUGUUUUGAUAAGUUCUAUAAUGUUCUGUAUUUCAUUUUGAUAUAUGUAAUUGAAAGUACAACUAUUGUGAAAAUAACAAGAUAUACUGCGAUACCUAUUACAGAUACCCCAGUAACCUGCUGUGAAGCUCUGUACCAAUUUCACCACACUGUCUCAGCUGGCUUUAUUCUGUCUUGUUCUGUUGUAUUUUACUACCUUCAAAAUAAAUAAAUAAAUAAAUUGACAGCACAAUGAACCAUCACACCAUAA
Cavia porcellus (domestic guinea pig) is the source of this 6348-nucleotide long non-coding RNA. RefSeq lists it as uncharacterized. The record is from RefSeq and is a predicted model, not a curated record. The transcript has 9 exons. NCBI's taxonomy places the organism in Eukaryota, Metazoa, Chordata, Mammalia, Rodentia, Caviidae.